UACGAAGGGGCUAGCGUUGCUCGGAAUUACUGGGCGUAAAGCGCACGUAGGCGGCUCUUUAAGUCGGGGGUGAAGUCCUGGAGCUCAACUCCAGAACUGCCUUCGAUACUGUAGAGCUUGAGUUCGGGAGAGGUGAGUGGAACUGCGAGUGUAGAGGUGAAAUUCGUAGAUAUUCGCAAGAACACCAGUGGCGAAGGCGGCUCACUGGCCCGAUACUGACGCUGAGGUGCGAAAGCGUGGGAGCAAACAGG
RNAcentral lists this ribosomal RNA (251 nucleotides) under uncultured bacterium. RNAcentral's name for it is "partial 16S ribosomal RNA". It matches the Rfam family "Bacterial small subunit ribosomal RNA", at positions 524 to 776 of the family's 1533-position model. The record is from RNAcentral.